Molecule: long non-coding RNA, 365 nt
Filed under: Mytilus galloprovincialis (Mediterranean mussel)
Lineage: Eukaryota; Metazoa; Mollusca; Bivalvia; Mytilida; Mytilidae
Source: RNAcentral
AAAUUAUUUAGUAAUUGAAUUGCAAGAAGAGUGUGAUCCGUUACAAUCCGUAACAAUAUAAUGUACAGAGUUAAUUUAGAGUAUUAAGACAUCAGCAAAACGCAAGUAAAGAAUAUCUCUAAUUGUCGGCAUUAUGUCGUCAAUGCAUGAAUAGUACAACGAAUGUUCAUGUGUUCAACAAAAAUGCUGAAAAUCCUAUCAUUACAAUCAAUUAUCCAACGAAUUUGAAAAAAACCCACCUGACAAUGUUACUGUUGCGUCAAAGUUUAUAACAUACUUGUCGCUUACAAUAGCUUUUUGUAAAUAAAAUAAUGCAUGCAUUCAUUCAGUGUUAUAAAAAAAGAAGUAAAAGAUACCAAAGGGAC